Molecule: transfer RNA, 77 nt
Filed under: Kiritimatiellaceae bacterium
Lineage: Bacteria; Pseudomonadati; Kiritimatiellota; Kiritimatiellia; Kiritimatiellales; Kiritimatiellaceae
Also listed under: 10 other names
Description: tRNA-Pro
Rfam family: tRNA
About the family: Transfer RNA (tRNA) molecules are approximately 80 nucleotides in length.
Source: RNAcentral
CGGGGCGUAGCGCAGUCUGGUAGCGCGGUUGCUUUGGGAGCAAUAGGUCGGGAGUUCGAAUCUCUCCGCCCCGACCA